This is a long non-coding RNA of Peromyscus leucopus (white-footed mouse), 741 nucleotides long. RefSeq lists it as uncharacterized. The transcript has 2 exons. The record is from RefSeq and is a predicted model, not a curated record. Lineage: Eukaryota; Metazoa; Chordata; Mammalia; Rodentia; Cricetidae.
UAAAAUCCUAGACGAGCUUUGCAACUUUUUUUUUGUUGUUCAAAAUGUAUUAAUUAACAGCACAGUAAUUUAACCUGCAGCCAUAUUGUCUUUCCUUAGAAAUAUCCCAGGUUAUACCCAUACCAGAAUAUAUACAUCUCAUGAGAUUAAAUGGACCUACAUUUAAACAAACUGGAUGAACUAUAGUGCCAGGACAUUGUAAUACCUCUGAUGCUUUUAAGUAUUUCAUUUUAUGUAACUCUUAGUGUUUUUUUUAUUUUUUCGUUUGUAUUUAUCCUUCCAGUUAAAUCUCUAGGGAAAAAAAAAAAACCCGCUAAGCAAUGGGAUGAGAAUGACUUCAGGCAAUGUAAAGUUUAAUUCCUAACUGUUAGAAAUGAAUGUAAGACAUUUGCAGAGGCUUAUGCUGCCUGUCAAUUGCUUUUCUCCUUUUGCAUCUUUCCUGUUCACACAAUCACACACUACCCACAUUAAGUAAACUAAUAAAUUCAAUCAUUAUGGAUUUCUCCUAUCAGUGACAGACAUUCAUAAAGGUAGCUGGGCAGAGACCAGCCCCAUUCACUGUACAUUUAAUACUUUCUCCAAUAGUGGUUAUCAGGAUUACAAUUGGAGUUGGUGUGCAUUAAUGAUAUACCCAUGAAGAGCAAAUACCACCGUUUAGAAUGAAAUUACUCAAUAGUAAGGUUCAUGGCCACUAUUUAUGUCUUUUUUUUUUUUUUUUUUUGAGUAGCAUCAAAAAAUGCA